AUGGUACACUUUGAGCAAACGGCGACAUGGAAUGGUUGGUCCGAUGACGAAAAGGCUCAGCAAUUAACAAUGAGUCUGCGAGGCUCAGCGCAAAAGAUUUUGGGUGAUUUAAAAGCGGAACAGCUUAAAAAUUAUGAAGAAUUAAAGAAAAUUCUAUGUCAGCGUUUUAACCCAAAAGAACGCGUCGCUGCAUACAGAUGCGAAUUUAGAACGCGAAUACGUAGACAAAAUGAAAGUCUUCAAGAUUACGGUUACGCAUUGCGUAGGCUUGUCUGUCUUGCAUAUCCAGACAGUGAUUUUAACUAUGUUCUUGAAGAACUAGCUAUAAAUCAAUUUACAAAUGGACUUGGAAAUUUCGAAAUGCAAAAGCAAGUACAAUUUUCGCACCCGAAGACGAUCGAGUCAGCAAUAGCGUAUGCUGUUGAAUAUGAAGCAUUUGUCGGGACACAGGCUGAUAUAAGAAAACCGAAAGAUAAGGAAGCCGAAUUUAAUAUUAAAUAUCCGGUACAGGCCGUUAAAAAACAAGACAUAGACAAACCGAAGCCCGAGGAAUGCAAAACUCAAACUAAUGCAUCGGAAGAAGCGUUGAUGAAGGUCCUUGACUAUUUUAAGGAAAUUAGCCAAAAACUUACACAAAUGAGCCUUCCGCGAAAUCAAGAGCGUCACAAUUUUCGAACUCCAAUUCGUUGUUAUAACUGUGGAGAACUGGGUCAUAUUGCAGUGCGUUGUAGGCAACCCCCAAAGGUUAAGAAAGAUGUAAAUGAAAACAACGGGGAUUUAAACAAGUAAGGGUUGAUCCUGUUCCCAAAGGUUCGGCCCCACAGUUGAAAGGGAAUAUGAAAAUCAGAAUAAACCAUAUUACUCCAAAUUGUUGAUAUUUGACCGCUAAAGUAAAUAGCAUUGAUGUUAAACUUUUAUUAGAUACCGGUUCUGCUGUCAGCAUUUUAAAUAAAUCUAUAUUUGAAAAAUUAGGCAUUGCUGAGACGCAAUUAGGUGCGUUCGGAGUUGAGCUUAUCGCUGCCGACGGUAAGCCGAUACCAGUACUAGGGAAAUUUAAGUUACAACUUUUGUUAGAUUGCUGUGCUAUAAAACAUGAUUUUGUAAUUGCUGACAUUGGUGAAAUGGCAGGAAUAAUAGGCAUGGAUUUACUCGAGACGUAUAGUGCCUCUAUAGAUAUAGCCAACGCAGAGAUUAAAAUUUCUGAUCACUCUAUUAAGCUCGAAAAGGAAAAUAGUAGACUUUGUGCUUUUGUAAGGACAGUUAGUAAGGAAAAAAUACCCCCUUUUUCUGAACGAAUUUUUGAAGGGAAGAUAAACGGGUUUCAAGGUGUGGAAAGUGAAAUUUUGUUUGAGCCAAUUAGGUUUCCUGACAAUAAAGGAAUUUUGUUAGCUAGAGCCCUUAUUAACCCCCAACAAGGCAAAGUUCAAGUGUCUGCACUAAAUAGUUCUUCUGUGGUAGUUACUUUGUCAAGGAACUCUAUAGUAGGAUGUAUACAGCCAAUUAAAGCUGUUACAAAAGUGAAUGUUGGGAUAAAUGAUAAACAUGAACAAGCUUUACCCGAACAUUUAACCCCGAUACUUGAUAAAAUAUCUCCUAAAGUAACGGAAAGUCAAAAGCAGUCUAUUAAGGAGCUUUUGAUCGAAUUUCAAGAUAUAUUUGUGGGACCUGACGGAAAGCUAGGCCGUACUAAUUUAGCAAAACAUGUCAUUAACACUGGUGAUGCGAAACCCAUUAAAUUGCCCCCUCGUAGAGCUCAUAUUAGGCAACGAAAGGUAAUAGAAACUGAAAUUCAGAAAAUGUUAGACCAAGAUAUCAUAGAGCCUAGUGAAAGCCCUUGGGCUACCCCUAUUUUGCUUGUAAAAAAGAAGGAUAACUCCGUUCGCUUCUGUCUAGAUUUUAGGAGGAUUAAUUCCGUUACAAAAAAGGACGCAUAUCCACUCCCUAGAAUUGACACUUGUUUGGACUCCCUAGGGGGUUCCGAAUGGUAUAAUACGCUAGAUAUGGCUAGUGGUUAUUGGCAAGUGGAGAUGGAUGAACAAAGUAAAGAAAAGACCGCAUUUACAUCUCAUAUGGGGCUAUUUCAGUUCAAUGUGCUUCCGUUUGGUUUGACAAAUGCUGGUGCUUGUUUUGAGAGACUGAUGGAGUUCGUACUCAAGGGAUAUCAGUGGAAGAGAUGUUUAUGCUAUAUCGAUGAUGUUAUAGUAUUUGGCAAUACUUUUGAAAAUACAUUGACAAAUUUGAGAUUAGUCUUUCAAAGAUUUCGUGAAGCAAAUUUAAAGUUAAAACCUAGCAAGUGUUCUCUUUUUCAAGAUCACGUUUUAUUUUUGGGUCAUAUGAUAUCUUCAGAAGGAAUAACAUGUGAUCCUUCCAAAAUAGAAACGGUUCAAAAAUGGCCCGUACCGACAAACGUCCACGAAAUUCGAAGUUUUCUGGGUUUGGCUGGUUAUUAUCGGCGAUUCAUACCUCAGUUUUCAGAAAUUGCAUCUCCUUUAACCGAACUGACGAAAAAGGGUAGAAAGUUUACAUGGAGCCUUGAAUGUCAAGAAGCUUUUGAAAAAUUAAAAGAUAAAUUAACUUCAGCCCCAAUUUUGAGCUACCCAAAUGAAGAGGGGAUGUUUAUUAUAGAUACUGACGCUAGCAAUAAUGCUAUUGGAGCCGUUUUGUCCCAAAAGCAGGGGAACGAAGAAAAAGUUAUUGCAUACGCUAGUAAGAUGUUGAGCAACACACAGAAACGCUAUUGCACUACGUAUCGAGAAUUAUUGGCUGUGGUUCAUUUUGUAAAGAACUUUAGACAUUUCUUAUGGGGUCAAAAAUUCUUGAUAAGAACUGAUCAUGCAUCGCUUGUAUGGCUUAAAAAUUUUAAAGAACCAGAAGGCAUUGUUGCCCGAUGGAUAUCAGUUUUGGAUACGUAUAAUUUUGUUAUUCAACAUAGAAGAGGUUGUCUUCAUGGUAACGCUGACGCCCUUUCCAGAAUUCCCUAUAGUAGGUGUAAACGUUCUAAAUGUCCUGGUUGUGAGGGUCUUAAUGAGGGAAAUGUAGAGCUAGAGGGAUGUUGUUUUCAUGAUUUUGAAAAACAAGCUGUUUUACCAAUACAGUAUGGGGAAAAUACAAGCACUAUUGACACUUUAAGUACAGAUUCAGAUAUUGAUUCUGACCCAGAAAAUGACAUUCAGUCAAAUUGGUUAGUGAGUUGGGCUGAUGAACAAAUAAGGGAAUGGCAAAAUAAUGAUUCUAAUAUUUCUAAAAUUUUACAACUCAAAUCUGAAUUUGAACAUAAGCCUCCCCGUGUACAUGUAUCAGAUUGUAAUUUCGAAGUGAGGUCGUUAUGGUCUAAUUGGGAGCUUCUUGAAAUUCAAAAUGAAAUCUUGUAUUAUAGAUAUGAACUUGAACAGGGCAUGUCUUUGGUUCUAGUUGCGCCUUACAAUAUUCGGUCAGAUAUCAUGCAUCAGUUGCAUACCCAGAGAAUUGCUGGUCACUUAGGUAGAGACAAAACUCUUAAGGCAGUGAAAUUUAGGUUUUUCUGGCCAGGCAUGUCUACCGAUGUAAUGAACUGGUGUAGGGAAUGCUGGGAUUGUGCAAAAUUUAAACCCGGACCAGGAGCUGGAAAAGCCCCUCUCCAACAGUCAAAAGUUGGAGCUCCUUUUGAUCGUAUUGGAAUAGAUAUUGUAGGACAUUGUCCAAUUACUGCCAAUAAUAAUGAAUACAUUAUAGUGAUACAAGAUUAUUUUACAAAAUGGGUCGAAGCUUUCGCCGUUCCCAAUCACACGGCUCAAACGGUUGCCGAUAAAUUAGUAACUGAGUUAUUCUGUAGGUUUGGUAUUCCCAAACAAAUUCAUUCAGAUCAGGGUAGAGAAUUUUGUUCAGAGUUAAUGGCCGAAGUAUGUAAAUUACUUGAAAUCGAUAAAACCAGAACCACUCCUUAUAGGCCUCAAAGUGAUGGUUUAGUAGAACGACAAAACCGAUCAUUAAAAAAAAUGCUCUCCAAUUUUGUUAACGAAAAUAGAAACGAUUGGGAUGAUCAUUUGCCGUUUUUACUCGUGGCUUAUAGAAACUCAAAUCAUGAUAGUACUGGUUUAUCACCCCAUAAAAUGAUGAUGGGAAGGGAAAUGACAUACCCCAUUGAUAUUUUAGCUGGUAGCCCUCCUAAUACUCCAGAGAGUAGUUGUCAUAUUGAGUAUGUACAGUGGUUGAAACAUGUACUUGAUAAAUCACAUUGUUUUGCAAGGAUGAGCCUUGACAAGGCAGCUCAGCGCCAAAAACAGAAUUAUGAUAGGGGAGUUAAAGCACGGUCUUUUGAGACAAAUGAUUUUGUUUGGAGGUGGAGUCCUUCUGUGGCCGGCGUUAAAUUUGGUAGAGGUUGGAUAGGUCCUUUUGUAGUUUUAGAAAAACUAUCAGAUGUUCUUUAUCGUAUUCAAAAGUUACCUCAGACAAAGCCCAUAGUUAUACAUGUUGAUCAUUAUGAAAUUGUAUUAUGGAGAAACCCCCCUAGCAUGGCAGAUUGA
RNAcentral lists this small RNA (4502 nucleotides) under Mytilus galloprovincialis (Mediterranean mussel). The record is from RNAcentral. Lineage: Eukaryota; Metazoa; Mollusca; Bivalvia; Mytilida; Mytilidae.